ACAUCCUGGGGCUGGAGAAGGUCCCAAGGGUUGGGCUGUUCGCCCAUUAAAGUGGCACGCGAGCUGGGUUCAGAACGUCGUGAGACAGUUCGGUCCAUAUCCGGUGUAGGCGUUAGAGUAUUGCGAGGAUCUCUUCUUAGUACGAGAGGACCGGAAGAGACGUACCUCUGGUGUACCAGUUAUUGUGCCAACAGUAAACGCUGGGUAGCCAUGUAUGGUAAGGAUAACCGCUGAAAGCAUCUAAGUGGGAAGCCCACCUCAAGAUGAGUACUCUUACCAUCAUAGAAUGGUUAAGGUCACGGCAAGAUUAGCCGUUUGAUAGGU
Molecule: ribosomal RNA, 324 nt
Filed under: Haptolina brevifila
Lineage: Eukaryota; Haptophyta; Prymnesiales; Prymnesiaceae
Description: partial Bacterial large subunit ribosomal RNA
Rfam family: Bacterial large subunit ribosomal RNA
Source: RNAcentral